GAACGACUCUCGGCAACGGAUAUCUUGGGUUGCGCCCGAGGCUUUUGGCCGAGGGCACGUCU
Molecule: ribosomal RNA, 62 nt
Filed under: Cherleria laricifolia
Lineage: Eukaryota; Viridiplantae; Streptophyta; Magnoliopsida; Caryophyllales; Caryophyllaceae
Description: 5.8S ribosomal RNA
Source: RNAcentral